GACGAACGCUGGCGGCGUGCUUAACACAUGCAAGUCGAACGGAAAGGCCCUGCUUUUGUGGGGUGCUCGAGUGGCGAACGGGUGAGUAACACGUGAGUAACCUGCCCUUGACUUUGGGAUAACUUCAGGAAACUGGGGCUAAUACCGGAUAGGAGCUCCUGCUGCAUGGUGGGGGUUGGAAAGUUUCGGCGGUUGGGGAUGGACUCGCGGCUUAUCAGCUUGUUGGUGGGGUAGUGGCUUACCAAGGCUUUGACGGGUAGCCGGCCUGAGAGGGUGACCGGCCACAGUGGGACUGAGAUAAGGCCCAGACUCCUACGGGAGGCAGCAGUGGGGAAUAUUGCACAAUGGGCGGAAGCUUGAUGCAGCAACGCCGCGUGCGGGAUGACGGCGUUCGGGUUGUAAACCGCUUUCGCCUGUGACGAAGCGUGAGUGACGGUAAGGGGUAAAGAGGCACCGGCUAACUACGUG
This 468-nucleotide ribosomal RNA is filed under the name uncultured bacterium. Its description in RNAcentral is "partial 16S ribosomal RNA". It matches the Rfam family "Bacterial small subunit ribosomal RNA", at positions 28 to 507 of the family's 1533-position model. The record is from RNAcentral.